UUUAUUUUUUAUGAGAGGGAUUUUUUUUUUUUUCAAUUUUGCACGGAAGAGAGAUUCCAUUCACUCUUCACGGUUGAGCAUCUUUAGAAGAGCAACUCUAGCCAUCAAUCGUAGUCCCUAAUCCCUAUCGACUCUGCAGUCUUCACCGGAAGAGGCACCAUCACUGAAUAUUUUCUGUCAAACCUGUAGUAGCGGCCAUCCUUCAUCAUUUUCUGGUUGGACUUUCAAGGAUCUCCGUUUGGAUCGUAACUGUGUCCCCAUCGAUAGUGCUAAGUCAUUGAGACAAUCCUCUAUUUCUUCUUUGCUUUCACUCCCCAAUCGCCAUUCGAACUUAGGCAGCUGAUUUGAUUCAAAUAAAACCAUUUUACUAUAAACUUCCCUUGUUGGAGCUUCUUUCCCAUUUAUUGUGACCCAAAACCCUAGGGAAAGCUUGGUAGCUACGACCAUAGUUGGUUGUGACUCUUUACUGUGCAACUUGAUCAAGGCCAACUUUCAAAGAGUAGUACAUCAUCGAGAUGUCUCCUAUGACAUUGCCAAUGGACUCAUCAGGCAUUUCAGACCUGAGCUGGAUAGGAUCAGGGAGCGUGCCAAAAAGGAGUUGCUUGAAGCUGUUGCUGCUUGAAUGAUCCACGCAAGGAAAUUGCAGAUGUGUUGGCCAUUGUGAAAUAAAGUUGAAAGAUAGCUAUGUUUGGAACAAAGGAAUGUAAUUUGCUGCAAGUAUUCCAUUACAAGACAAUUGCAUGUAAAGUUAAAGAUCUUCAAAAUGUGGAAUCAAUCUCUCAUGAACUAUUCAUCAUUUUUAACCAACUAGUUAUCAUGGUUAUUUAGUCCAAGGCACAACUGCGAAUAUAUAGAUGGAGACAUUGAAUCAAAUUUCUAUUUGUUAAUUGUAUUAUUUAUAUGAUAACAAUUUGGAAAUUAUAAUAUAUCAAGUUGUGUAUAAAUUGCAGUUGGAAUGUAAUU
Nelumbo nucifera (sacred lotus) is the source of this 963-nucleotide long non-coding RNA. RefSeq lists it as uncharacterized. The record is from RefSeq and is a predicted model, not a curated record. NCBI's taxonomy places the organism in Eukaryota, Viridiplantae, Streptophyta, Magnoliopsida, Proteales, Nelumbonaceae.